Molecule: ribosomal RNA, 432 nt
Filed under: uncultured bacterium
Lineage: Bacteria
Description: bacterial SSU rRNA
Rfam family: Bacterial small subunit ribosomal RNA
Source: RNAcentral
CCUACGGGGGGCAGCAGUGGGGAAUAUUGCACAAUGGGCGCAAGCCUGAUGCAGCGACGCCGCGUGAGGGAUGACGGCCUUCGGGUUGUAAACCUCUUUCAGCAGGGACGAAGCGCAAGUGACGGUACCUGCAGAAGAAGCACCGGCCAACUACGUGCCAGCAGCCGCGGUAAUACGUAGGGUGCAAGCGUUGUCCGGAAUUACUGGGCGUAAAGAGCUCGUAGGCGGUUUGUCGCGUCGUCUGUGAAAACCAGCAGCUCAACUGUUGGCUUGCAGGCGAUACGGGCAGACUUGAGUAUUUCAGGGGAGACUGGAAUUCCUGGUGUAGCGGUGAAAUGCGCAGAUAUCAGGAGGAACACCGGUGGCGAAGGCGGGUCUCUGGGAAAUAACUGACGCUGAGGAGCGAAAGCGUGGGUAGCGAACAGGAUUAGA